This 331-nucleotide ribosomal RNA is filed under the name uncultured bacterium. RNAcentral describes it as "bacterial SSU rRNA". It matches the Rfam family "Bacterial small subunit ribosomal RNA", at positions 29 to 362 of the family's 1533-position model. The record is from RNAcentral.
AACGAACGCUGGCGGCAUGCCUUACACAUGCAAGUCGAACGGCAGCACGGGAGCAAUCCUGGUGGCGAGUGGCGAACGGGUGAGUAAUAUAUCGGAACGUGCCCAGUCGUGGGGAUAACGUAGCGAAAGCUACGCUAAUACCGCAUACGAUCUAUGGAUGAAAGCGGGGGAUCGCAAGACCUCGCGCGAUUGGAGCGGCCAAUAUCAGAUUAGGUAGUUGGUGAGGUAAAGGCUCACCAAGCCGACGAUCUGUAGCUGGUCUGAGAGGACGACCAGCCACACUGGGACUGAGACACGGCCCAGACUCCUACGGGAGGCAGCAGUGGGAAGU